Molecule: ribosomal RNA, 770 nt
Filed under: uncultured bacterium
Lineage: Bacteria
Description: bacterial SSU rRNA
Rfam family: Bacterial small subunit ribosomal RNA
Source: RNAcentral
CGGGCGGCGUGCUCUACUGCAAGUCGUGCGAGAAAGCCCGCUUCGGUGGGUAAGUAAAGCGGCGAACGGGUGCGUAACACGUGAGUAAUCUGCCCUGAGGCGGGGGAUAAGCUCCCGAAAGGGGGUCUAAUACCGCAUAACAUUCCUGGGAGGCAUUUCCCGGGAAUCAAAGAUGGCCUCUAUUUAUAAGCUAUCACCGCAGGAUGAGCUCGCGCUCCAUUAGCCUGUUGGUAGGGUAACGGCCUACCAAAGCUACGAUGGAUAGCCGGCCUGAGAGGGUGAACGGCCACACUGGGACUGAGAUACGGCCCAGACUCCUACGGGAGGCAGCAGUAGGGAAUAUUGCGCAAUGGACGAAAGUCUGACGCAGCAACGCCGCGUGUGGGAUGAAGUUCCUUGGAGUGUAAACCACUGUCGGGGGGGACGAAUGAUUAUGGCUCUAACAUAGCCAUAGUUUGACUGUACCCCCAGAGGAAGCUCCGGCUAACUCCGUGCCAGCAGCCGCGGUAAUACGGGGGGAGCAAGCGUUGUUCGGAAUCACUGGGCGUAAAGGGUGCGCAGGCGGGAGAUUAAGUCGGAUGUGAAAACCUCGGGCUCAACCCGAGGCCUGCAUUUGAAACUGAUCUUCUUGAGUAUCGGAGAGGAAAGCGGAACUCCAGGUGUAGCGGUGAAAUGCGUAGAUAUCUGGAGGAACACCUGUGGCGAAGGCGGCUUUCUGGCCGAAUACUGACGCUCAUGCACGAAGGCUAGGGGAGCAAACAGGAUUAGAU